AACCAGGGAGGGGGCACUGCUACAAUGCAUUGAAUGCAUCUUUGUUCUAAAUGUAUGAUCCCAAUCUCAUCUUUCGCAUGCAGAAGGUGAGUAGCUCCCCGAGGCACCCUCCUCUCCCUGCACACAGAUGGGGAAACCGAGGGCUGGUAGGGAUGAGCCUGAGGUUAUACAGGAGUUAGGUGGGUCAUGAAAUUUGUUUCCCCCAGUCCCUGGAGCAAACCUUACAAUUUGCCUUUAGAUUCUAGACCUGAAAGUGUUCCUGAUCAGAGAGGCCUUCCUGUCACUGCCUUGCAGGAGGCAAGGGAAAUGGGGUUAGACAUUAGGGAGGACUCCCCGCCCGGAGUCCUAGCACAGCAAACCAGGAGGUGGAACUGAAUCAGCCUGGAAUGGCUGCUGAGAGCUCGGCUGCAAGUUGCUGGUCCAUCUGGGGCCCUGGUUUUGCUUUCAGUCAAAUGGGGAUCCAACUCCUGCCCCACCUGCCAUCUUGGUUGUCAAAGUCAAAGGAGGGAAUGAAGUUAUGAAUUGAAUUGGGCAAAUGAUGACUGAGAACAGGCUUGGAAAAGGUUUUCUGGGGAGGAGGAGGCUGGAGGCCAGGACACUGUUUGUUGUGGAACCAGGAGCUCUUUGAGACGAGACUCCAAGUAGUAAUCCCAGACCCCACCUUGCUCAUCCCAACCUGUUCCGGUCUCCCCAUCAGGGACCUCCAGGUGCAUGGAUUGGUGCUGCCCCUCAUGCUGCCCAGCUUCUACUCAGAGCUCUUCACGCUCUACCUGCUGCUUCAUGAGCGGGAGGACAGCUUCUACAGCCAGGGCAUUGCCAACUUGAGCCUCUUUCCUGAUACCCAACUGCUCGAGUUCCUGGAUGUGCAGAAGCACUUGUGGCCCCUCAAGGACCUCACGCUGACGAGCAAUCAGAGGUACUCCCUGGUCAGGGACAAGUGUUUCCUGUCAGCCACCGAGUGCCUGCAGAAGAUCAUGUGAGUGUGAG
This 987-nucleotide long non-coding RNA is filed under the name Pan troglodytes (chimpanzee). RNAcentral describes it as "long non-coding RNA NONPTRT011906". The record is from RNAcentral. Lineage: Eukaryota; Metazoa; Chordata; Mammalia; Primates; Hominidae.